CAAAGACAAAAGCUUAAGAGCUUAGUGUCAUAGCCAACAUUGUCUCUUGCUGACUAAACUUGACCCGCUUGGCUUCUUCCUCGGUCACUCCAUACGCCGCUUUGAUCACAUCCACGGGAACCGCUCUCAAGUACGAUGUUCCACCGCUGAGUGUGUUCAUGUAAGCAUUGUCGUUCGUCUUGAACGCUAUCCACUCGAACCCUGUUUCACCAGCGGUUUUGACAACCGCAAAGCCUUGUGGAACCACAAGAAGCUCUCCUUGUUGCACUUAUGCAUUGAACACGAACUGACCGUUGUCGUCAACUACUUGUAUCUUGGCUUGACCGCCUGUAACGUAUAGCACGGUGUGUGCGUUUGCGGUCCAAUGCGGCAACAUCAUUCCUCCCUAUCUCCACAAAAAAAAAAUCAUUACAUUAACACAUAUUAUGAGGCAACAGAACUCUUAAAAAAACUAAAAAACUAAUGGUAUAAUUUUCAUACUAAUGAGUAACCUGAAUACUAAUACAAGAAAUAUCAUCACAUUAAUUAACACAUAUAUGAUUCAACAAAACUUUAAAAAUUGCUUACUAACACUCUAGAAUUAAUGAACCUAACCAAACACUUACGCUGUAGAGAACGCCUCUAAUGGCGUUAAGCCUUACUAAACGUGGAACAGGGAGAUUGAGGCUGUUAAGAGUGCUGAUUCUGCCAGCUCGUGUGCUGAAAAAGUCGCUACGUUCUGGAUCGUCUAUGUUCUCGUGAAUCCUCGCCGUGCAAUGCGUCUCUUCGAUGCCUACCAUAAAGGUAGUUAUGUAAAAUGAUAUUAUUAAAAAACAUUUUUAAUAAAUACAUAAUUUCAAAACAGUUUAAUUUAAAAACAUGAUCAUUUACACUAACUAAUACACAACUCGUUAAGCAAACUAGGGUCGGCCCGGGGUACGCCUGAGAUUUUUGUUUAAAUUUAAAUAUUGAUUAUAUAUUUAGUAUGUUUAUUUUAUUUAUAAUAUUAUAAUCUAUUAUAAAAAAAAUAUAGUAGCCAAACAAUUAUAAAAUCAUUUUAAAUUAUUCACUGUUUUGUUUUACGUAUUUCAAAAAUUUUACUAUCCAUUUUUUGUUAUUAGAAAUUAUAUAUAAGGUGAUGAAUAAAAUAAACAAAAAUAUUUUUUAGUUAUAGUGUUUAAUUGGUUGAACUGUAUAAAUAUUUCAUUUCACUUAAAUCUGUUUAUGAAUUUUGUUUCCAAUUAGUAUCCAAAUAGUUUAAUGAAUUCUGUUUAUGAAUUUUUUCUCAACGAUUAAAAGCGUUUAAGUACGAACCCGAAUACAAUAUAAGAACUCGAAAACCUUGUCUUGAAGGAUCCAUGAAGGUACACGAAACAUUUUACUCAGUUUUUUUUCUGCUAAAGCUUAGUAAUAGACAUUUCUAUACCUUUUUCAUCUUCAAGAAGAGUUGCCAACGCCAUAACCUUACGAUCUUUUUCAUGAGCUGUGGUUGAGAGGUUCAAAAAUGAAAAAAAAAAAGCAAGCAUUAUUUUUAUAUGAGCUUCUUUCCGAGUUUCAUCCUCCGAUAACUAUCUUGAACUUUUUUAGACAUGAACAUGGCAUGGAUCCGCACUCCAGAUCUCUCGAGCGUUUCUUAUACUUGUCACUGACUCGUCUUGCAGAAAUAUUCUUAUGCUUCACCUGGAGGAUGUUCCUCUGCUCGAUCUUGGCUCACUUGGAGUCCUCUAGCAAUAUUAUCUUCUGUCUCCAUUGAUUACUGCGUUCUCCAACACUCUUACAGACCAAAUGAUUUUCAUGUACUGCCUCCUUGCUUGUAACCCACUGAUAGCAGUCUACAAAAGAGAUGAAAAAGAAACAUGAUUUAACAAACACAUGGGUUGCAAGCUUCAGACAAAACUUAUGACUCAAGUGUGACACACAUUAAACCAUAUCACGACAUACAUGGAUCCCGCGAGAACAGAUAUGGAAAUUCUAAUGGGAUGAGACCAUAUAUUUGACAAUACUGUUCUCUGUAAGGUCGUGAUGUAAGGAGCAGUAUCUCUUCAGGUUUAUGAGAAACAAACUAAGCAGGCUUUGUUCUUAAACAUCACCAAGCACACUGCUCAAUCAGAAAAGAUAAUAAGGCAUAUGAGGAGACCUAGAGCCCUCGCAAGAAUAGAAGAAGUGAAUCAUUCUUAGAACUGAAGCUUGUUUCUUUUUAAGAAUCUGCAUCAGAUUUCAUAAAAUAAUCAGAGUAGGAUGAAAGCAAAAACCUUAAAACGUAUCGUCGAACUACCAAGACUUUAGGUACUAACGCUUCCAAUCAAACGCUUACAAAAUAAUUACGCAGAGCCUUCUUAGAUUUGAAGUAAAGCAAAUGCUAAUUGUAUAUCAAAUCGAUAGGAAAACUAACCUUUUUAUAGAUUAAGAGAUACACCGCCUUGAAGAGGAUAACUCUCAUUCAUUGCCAGAUCGCGCUUGAAGUCGGUCUAUGGAGUUAAUUCGGCUGUUUAAAGCGAUGAAUCAAACCAUCCUGACGGUUCAGAUUUUUAGAACAGUAGACAAAACGACGCCAUGGAAAACACGAUCAGAGCUUCUAAUUUAUGAUUCGUCUAAUUCUUCAUCACGAAAUACCAUUGUUGUUGAAGAGCUUCAGAGAUCGAUGAAGUACAUGAACCCUAAUUUAAGUUUCAAUUAGAUGAUGAUGAAAGAACGCUACCAGAUCUCAUGUGUCUUCAUCGAGGCGGAGAUGAAACUGACUAACUCAAAUAUCAAAACGCCGCGUCACACCGCUUUACAAUUAGAGUAGUCUGAAUUUAAUGAACAUCGUGUAUUGAUUGUUCUGCCACGUAGCGCGUCCAAAAUCACUGAUUUUCUGACCUAGAAUCCUUGAUGGCUUGAUAAAAUACGAAUGCUCAUCUCUAUAAUUUUAUUUGACAAGUCAGUUUCUUAUGUGUCGCACUCACGUUAACUCUCAAAGUGGUUGAUUACACUGAUAUCCUUAAUGAAUUAAAAAUAUUAUAUUUAAAUACUAUUAUAGAAUUUUUAUUUAGUUUUUUUAAAAAAAAUUCCAAAUAACAUAUAUAAUAAAAAGGAAACAUUAAGGGUAUCAAAGCAAAUCUGAAUUCUCAGUUUAAAGAUUAUUUAAAAUAAAUUUUAGUUUACCAUUUAAUAAAUUUAAGGCAUAAAAUUAUUUAGAAUUUAUAAAAUAUUUUAAAUAUUGUAAAUAUUGAUAUGUGUUCAUGAGCUUCCAAAAAUGUAUCAAUUACUUAUAUAUGUAACUUCAUAUUGAUCAUCCCUUUAUUUUCUGAUAUUUUGUUUUGAAAAAAUCAACAUAUAAUUUGAUAAAUAUUAUGAAACUACAUGCACAUUUUAAUGAUAUAUAAAAUUAAUUUGACUUUACUUAAUUAUAAUAAAAAUAAUUAUACUUCAGUUUGAAUUUGAAAGAAUAUAUAUAAUUUAAUAUACUCACAACAUGAGUGACUCGACUAAUCCAAUUUAUAUCAAAAAUCAUAUAUUUAACUACAAUAAAAAUAUAUAUUUUUUAAUAAUAAUUUGUUUUACACAUAACAAAUGAAAAUAAAAUAUUAACCAACUAUUAUAAUUUAGUUCUUUUGUAAAAUUUAUAUAUAUGCAUGAUAUUGUAGAAUAUUAUUGUAUAUUAAUUUAUGUAAUUUGGAAUCAGACACUUUAGUUUAUUUUAUAUUUCAUUCUAAGCACUAUAUAUCUCAAGUUAUACAUAAUCUUCCUCAAAUAUAUUUACAUAUCUAAGACAACAAACAAUGUAAAUGCAAAUAAGAAAAUUAAUCAUAAUUUUAAUAUAUUUAAAAUAUAAAAAAAUAUAGUUGAAUUGAGAGAAAUAGAUGGAAUCUAAUAUACCCAAAUGAUAAUUAAAUCGACUAUAAAAAACAACCAAAACGACUAGAUAUAACAUAUCGAAAAACAUAUGUCUAACUAAAGUAAUAUAAUAUUAUUAAUAUAAAUUAUGCAUACAAAUUAUAAAUUAAUUAAAAAUUAAAAAUAAGUAACAAUCAAUUAUUAUAAUAAAUAUAUAUAUUCCGUGCAUGAGCACGGAAAAAUCACCUAGUAAAUCAUAUUUUAAAGACACAACUUUUAAAGUUGAUUUAAAAAGCUAAUAUAUAUUUUAAAUAAAAAGACACAACUUUUAAAGUUGAUAUUUUUAGAGUUUCUUGUUGGAAACACACAUCUAUAAAUUGACAAUUUUUAAAAUCAACACAUAACCUUUUAACUUAAUUGAAAUUCACAACCCUUUACAAUUAAUUGAAAUUGUUGUUAUUAGUAGAUUGACAACAAAUUCCAAUAGUCGUCCAAAAAACAACAACAAAUUCCAAUAUAUUUUUUUUUGUUAGUUUACGCAAUUGUACAAAAAAGAAAAAAGAAGACACACAUAUCAAUAACAUAUCAAUAUUUGUUAUUUAUAUUUGUAUUGGGUAGUAUAGUACACCUUAUUAUGCCAAAACACCAGAAACAAUUUGUUAAAAAUUUUAUUCUUUUCUUUGACAUAGUAGUAUUAUAAAUAUUAUUUGAUUUACACUAUAGAUAAAAUAAUCAGGGAGGACAAUCAUAAAAACAUAUGCAUAUUGGUAUUUUGCCUGUACCCUGUCCGCAAUGACCAGUCCCUGGUUUAUGCCUCCUGACGCAUUCUGCUUCACAGCUUUUGGGUUCACAUGUUCUAUCUUUGUUUUCUAAAUUUUGACGACAUGUCUCCUUACUUUUUCUUUUCUGAGCAAUCGUUAUUUCUCCUGUCAUUAUAAUAAUCAAAACAUAAUCUUAAUUUUCAUCUUUAAAAUAGAAAAUCAUUUUUUGUAAAGCAUAUGUUUAGAGAGCUUUCUGAAUAUUUAUACCAAAAAAACUGAAAAUCUAAACAUUUUCUUUCUUAACCAUUGAUUAUUUUUAUAAAAUUAUUAAACUCAAUAUUAUAGAAUUAUACGUAAACUUUAUGUAGGUAUAUUAAAUAAACCACAUGAAAUAAAGUUUAUUUUAGAAUGCAUAUAUAAUAUAUUCAUAAAGUCGUAAAUGUAAGUACAAACCUAAUAGAAGAAUUGUGAGCAUAAGAAAACCAAUAAACCAUGGUUUGAAAGCAACUUUCAUCUUCGAUAAUGAAAUAGUAGUGUUUUAAAAAUUAGAAAGACAGAGCACUAUAUUUAUAGAUAAAUCACAAAUUGAAAUAUUUCCAAUUUAAGCUAUGUAUAUUUUAAAAUUCCGAUAUUAAAGGAUCUAGUUUGACCAAAAAAAUUCACAUCUCCAAUUUUUUAUUUACUCAAUAAAUAAAAAGAUUUAAAUUUUUUAAAUUUAUAUCUAAAAUUGUGGUGUUUGGAUGUAAAAUUUAUACCUAAAAAUCCAAAUACUUAAAUACCUUUCAGUACAAAACAUAAUUUGUUUUUAUAUUAAUUCUUUUUACUACAUAAUAUUUUAAUAGUAAAAUUACGUUUUCUCGUCAGAACAAAACAGUUGAAUCACUUUCACGCCAAAAAUCACGUUUUUGACAAAACGGUUGAAUCACUUUCACGCCAAAAUCGUGAUGAAGUUGAAAUUUUUAUUGUCAGGGACCCUGGGAACCCACACCUUGGACUCGGGGUGAGGUGAGGUGUUGUUUUACGUGUCAUGAAGUUGUCUCUGUUUCCUGAGCGGCUUCUGGUAUGUUGUGCUUUUUGGAUCCAUGUCCUUAAUACAUGUAAUGAUGUUGACUCUGUUUACUCGCAACACUUGUAGUAAUAAACUAAAAUACUUGUCACUGAAACUUUUGUGAAAGUCCCUUCUUAUUACAUCAUUAACUCGAAAAUCUAAAAACAUAAUUGAAACAAAGACAAAAGCUUAAGAGCUUAGUGUCAUAGCCAACAUUGUCUCUUGCUGACUAAACUUGACCCGCUUGGCUUCUUCUUCGGUCACUCCAUACGCCGCUUUGAUCACAUCCACGGGAACCGCUCUCAAGUACGAUGUUCCACCGCUGAGUGUGUUCAUGUAAGCAUUGUCGUUCGUCUUGAACGCUAUCCACUCGAACCCUGUUUCACCAGCGGUUUUGACAACCGCA
Molecule: long non-coding RNA, 6010 nt
Filed under: Brassica napus (rape)
Lineage: Eukaryota; Viridiplantae; Streptophyta; Magnoliopsida; Brassicales; Brassicaceae
Description: long non-coding RNA (BNAP_LNC022361)
Source: RNAcentral